This is a small nuclear RNA of Bombyx mandarina (wild silkworm), 155 nucleotides long. Lineage: Eukaryota; Metazoa; Arthropoda; Insecta; Lepidoptera; Bombycidae. The record is from RefSeq and is a predicted model, not a curated record.
GUACCUACCUGACGUAGGGAUACCGUAAUCAUGCAGACGGUUCCCCCAGGGUGAGGCAGCUCCAUUGCACUGCGGAAUGGUUGACCCUUGCGAUUAUUAUAUUUUUUAUAAGUUUCACUUUUACCGUGUUUGACUUGCACACAUGCUUUUUUUUG